UCUCUCUCCCUCCCUCCCUGCUUCCCAUGUGGAGUAGCGAGAGGAAGCAGCAGUACAAAGGAGGGUUCUGGGUUUGGGCGGGAGUGCGAUUGAUCGAGGGGGUUGAGAGAGCUGCUUCGAUCGGUCCAAAGAGGUCUGAGAUAUAUUCUUGGCGGGAGUAGAGUCGGUUCUGCAGGGAGGCAAACAGCAGAGAAGAAGAAGAAGAAAAAAAAAAAGAUUGCAAGGAAGAAAGGUAAGCAGGCUAUCUAUCUAUCUAUCCAUCUAUCAGUAAUCCUCCUUUAAGCCGCUCCCUCUCCUUUCUCUCCGCAGCUUUCCUGGAUUUCUGUGCUCUACUCAUCACCUCCCCUCCUCUUCUCAUGAAACAUAACCAUAUCCCUCCCAAAAGAUCUCCUCUUUCCAACUUAAAAAUAAAUAAAAUAAAUAACAAGGAUUUAGAUUAGAUCCUUCCUUGCUGAUCCCUUCAUUCUGAUUUUCUUUUAAACUACUCUUUCCUUUUGGCUGCUAUUUAUAUUUGUUUCCGAGAAUAUAUAAGAUAAAAAUCUCGGUCGUUUCCUCAAACAUUCCAUGUCCGGUCCAUGUUAGUGGUCUCGAAGCUCGAUUCCAAGCUUCAGCCUCAGAACCCUUGUUCACACUCUCCCAUAUCCAUCUCUUCCAACUCCCACCAACCCUCUUCUACUAUGGUCUUUGCUUCCCGGUUUUGCUCUACGAAGCUGCUGCUCGCCAUCCCAAAUGACCGGGUUGCCCUUACCGCCGCUGCGGUCUCGAAGGGUAAUUUGGUAAUCAUGGUAAGGAGGUGACGUGUCGGUGGUCCCGUCUGGGGGGGAGAUCUCUUCGUAGCGUUGUUGGUUUCUGGUCGCCAGAGGCCAGGCACAUGGGAGCGGCAGCGGCUGCAGCAGCGCUGCUGGAUACAUCGAGAACUCUUGCCCCCAGGUCGUUUUCAAUUAUAAUUUACUUAUUUUUUUCCUCUUUUCUCUUCUUUCAAAUGUUAAAAUAUUAUAAAGUAUGGGAUAAAAUAAGAUCAAAAUGUCACGAAAAUUAAUGGGGCCAUUAAAUACUCGCCUCCCCCGCUCUUAUUAAUGGAGCAAUGCAGGAGAAUGGGAAGGGAGGGGGAGAAAGUCCCGAGUCCCUUUUUUUUAACUCCUUCUUGGCCUUGCUGCUGCCUUUUUUUAAAAAUUUAGUUUAUAUGUACAUUUUUUUAAUCUCUCAGCGGCUCUCAGUGGUGGCGUGCCGCUCUUAGGUCGUGGAGGAGCGGCCGGAGCUUCCGCUAUGGGUACGUGAAACCCGGGGAGUACGUUUCUUGGUCGCCGCGUCCCCGAAUUACCCUCGGUUCGGACCGGCUCUUCUUGGCCGCGCCAUCGUCUCGUGGGAGGUAGCAGGAGGGGCAUUCCCGUCAUUUUGAGGUGGCUGGGUACGAAUAUUUCAGGCUGGGGAGCUAUUGCGUGUGGGAUGGAGGGAAGAGUAGGGGAAGAGGCGGGAGGGGAGGAGGGGAAGAAGUACACUUAAAACCGGGGUUGGUAAAUAUUGAGGAGUUAUAAAAGAGGGGGAAAAGAAGAGGAGAGAGAUUUACUGCAUGCCCUUGCUUUUGUUUCUUUCUUUUUCUCUCCAGGAGAAUGAGAAGAGUGAAGAGAAAGGAAGAGGGGAGAAGGUGUCUCCUCCUUAAAAAGGGAGGCCGGCCUCUACGGCCAAGCUAGAGAAAGAGAGGAAGAUUAAAGCUUUGGUCUCAAACGCGAGGCAUUUGGUUCCCUCGGCACGAGAGAAGGCGCGAAGGCGUCGAUGGCGGUGGCGGUGGCAAAGGAGGAGAUGAUGGUGGGCUACUGGCGGUGGUGGUGGUGGUGGUGGUGGUGGAAGGCUGCAUACACAAGGUGAUGAGGUGGUGUCGUGGUUUUGAGGUGUAUGUUCGCUUGUGGAACUGGGAUAUUGGCGUAAUAGGCUCAAUCACUUCUUUUUUUU
RNAcentral lists this long non-coding RNA (1950 nucleotides) under Phoenix dactylifera (date palm). RNAcentral's name for it is "long non-coding RNA (PDAC_LNC013585)". The record is from RNAcentral. Lineage: Eukaryota; Viridiplantae; Streptophyta; Magnoliopsida; Arecales; Arecaceae.